Molecule: ribosomal RNA, 260 nt
Filed under: Pseudarthrobacter chlorophenolicus
Lineage: Bacteria; Bacillati; Actinomycetota; Actinomycetes; Micrococcales; Micrococcaceae
Description: partial 16S ribosomal RNA
Rfam family: Bacterial small subunit ribosomal RNA
Source: RNAcentral
GAGCUAAUCCCAAAAAGCCGGUCUCAGUUCGGAUUGGGGUCUGCAACUCGACCCCAUGAAGUCGGAGUCGCUAGUAAUCGCAGAUCAGCAACGCUGCGGUGAAUACGUUCCCGGGCCUUGUACACACCGCCCGUCAAGUCACGAAAGUUGGUAACACCCGAAGCCGGUGGCCUAACCCUUGUGGGGGGAGCCGUCGAAGGUGGGACUGGCGAUUGGGACUAAGUCGUAACAAGGUAGCCGUACCGGAAGGUGCGGUUGGA